GACGAACGCUGGCGGCGUGCUUAACACAUGCAAGUCGAACGGAUCAUCCCAGCUUGCUGGGGUGGUUAGUGGCGAACGGGUGAGUAACACGUGAGCAACCUGCCCCUGACUCUGGGAUAACUCCGGGAAACCGGGGCUAAUACCGGAUAUGACCUCGCAUCGCAUGGUGUGUGGUGGAAAGUUCUUCGGUUGGGGAUGGGCUCGCGGCCUAUCAGCUUGUUGGUGGGGUGAUGGCCUACCAAGGCGACGACGGGUAGCCGGCCUGAGAGGGUGACCGGCCACACUGGGACUGAGACACGGCCCAGACUCCUACGGGAGGCAGCAGUGGGGAAUAUUGCGCAAUGGGCGGAAGCCUGACGCAGCGACGCCGCGUGAGGGAUGACGGCCUUCGGGUUGUAAACCUCUUUCAGCAGGGAAGAAGCUUCACGGUGACGGUACCUGCAGAAGAAGCACCGGCUAACUACGUGCCAGCCGCCGCCGUAACAC
This 486-nucleotide ribosomal RNA is filed under the name uncultured bacterium. RNAcentral's name for it is "bacterial SSU rRNA". It matches the Rfam family "Bacterial small subunit ribosomal RNA", at positions 28 to 526 of the family's 1533-position model. The record is from RNAcentral.